UACGGGGGGGUAAGCGUUGUUCGGAAUUACUGGGCGUAAAGGGCUCGUAGGCGGCCAACUAAGUCAGACGUGAAAUCCCUCAGCUUAACCGAGGAACUGCGUCUGAUACUGGAUGGCUUGAGUUUGGGAGAGGGAUGCGGAAUUCCAGGUGUAGCGGUGAAAUGCGUAGAUAUCUGGAGGAACACCGGUGGCGAAGGCGGCAUCCUGGACCAACACUGACGCUGAACAGCGAAAGCCAGGGGAGCAAACGGG
This 252-nucleotide ribosomal RNA is filed under the name uncultured bacterium. RNAcentral's name for it is "partial 16S ribosomal RNA". It matches the Rfam family "Bacterial small subunit ribosomal RNA", at positions 524 to 776 of the family's 1533-position model. The record is from RNAcentral.